AACGAACGCUGGCGGCGUGCCUAACACAUGCAAGUCGAGCGAGAAAGUUCCUUCGGGAACGAGUACAGCGGCGCACGGGUGAGUAACACGUAGGUAACCUUCCCUCGAGCUCGGAAUAACCCGCCGAAAGGUGGGCUAAUACCGGAUAUGACCACGGCGGCCACGGCCGCUGCGGUGAAAGAUGGCCUCUGUUCACAUGCUAUUACUCGGGGAUGGGCCUGCGCGCCAUUAGCUAGUUGGUGGGGUAAUGGCCCACCAAGGCGAUGAUGGCUAGCUGGUCUGAGAGGAUGACCAGCCACACUGGGACUGACACACGGCCCAGACUCCUACGGGAGGCAGCAGUGGGGAUAUUGCGCAAUGGGCGAAAAGCCUGACGCAGCGACGCCGCGUGGGUGAUGAAGGCCUCGGGUCGUAAAAGCCCUGUCGAGGGGGGAACGAAUCAGCCUCGCCCUAACAUGGCGAGGCCUUGACGGUACCCUAAGAAGCACCGGCUAACUCCGUGCCAGCAGCCGCGGUAAUACGGAGGGUGCAAGCGUUGUUCGGAAUCACUGGGCGUAAAGGGCGUGUAGGCGGUCUGGCAAGUCCGAUGUGAAAUCCCGAGGCUUACCCUCGGAAGUGCAUUGGAUACUGGCGGGCUAGAGUCCCGGAGAGGAGGGUGGAAUUCCUGGUGUAGCGGUGAAAUGCGUAGAUAUCAGGAGGAACACCGGUGGCGAAGGCGGCCCUCUGGACGGUGACUGACGC
Molecule: ribosomal RNA, 741 nt
Filed under: uncultured bacterium
Lineage: Bacteria
Description: bacterial SSU rRNA
Rfam family: Bacterial small subunit ribosomal RNA
Source: RNAcentral